GCCCGCAUGGCUCAGGGGUAGAGCGUAUCACUAGUAGAGACUUGUAACACUACUUCAUGAUAAGGUCCUCAGUUCAAAUCUAAGUGUGGGCA
Non-coding RNA from Lasiosphaeria ovina, 92 nucleotides. NCBI's taxonomy places the organism in Eukaryota, Fungi, Ascomycota, Sordariomycetes, Sordariales, Lasiosphaeriaceae. The record is from the annotation of a GenBank genome assembly.